AAUGGAGGAAACUCUGAUGCAGCCAUGCCGCGUGAGUGAAGAAGGCCUUUGGGUUGUAAAGCUCUUUUGUCGGGGAAGAAAAUGACUGUACCCGAAUAAGAAGGUCCGGCUAACUUCGUGCCAGCAGCCGCGGUAAUACGAAGGGACCUAGCGUAGUUCGGAAUUACUGGGCUUAAAGAGUUCGUAGGUGGUUGAAAAAGUUGGUGGUGAAAUCCCAGAGCUUAACUUUGGAACUGCCAUCAAAACUUUUCAUCUAGAGUAUGAUAGAGGAAAGCAGAAUUUCUAGUGUAGAGGUGAAAUUCGUAGAUAUUAGAAAGAAUACCAAUUGCGAAGGCAGCUUUCUGGAUCAUUACUGACACUGAGGAACGAAAGCAUGGGUAGCGAAGAGGAUU
RNAcentral lists this ribosomal RNA (392 nucleotides) under uncultured Gammaproteobacteria bacterium. RNAcentral's name for it is "bacterial SSU rRNA". It matches the Rfam family "Bacterial small subunit ribosomal RNA", at positions 370 to 779 of the family's 1533-position model. The record is from RNAcentral. Lineage: Bacteria; Pseudomonadati; Pseudomonadota; Gammaproteobacteria.